Phoenix dactylifera (date palm) is the source of this 3156-nucleotide non-coding RNA. NCBI's taxonomy places the organism in Eukaryota, Viridiplantae, Streptophyta, Magnoliopsida, Arecales, Arecaceae. The record is from RefSeq and is a predicted model, not a curated record.
UUCCUUCUCCUUUAUUUUUCUUCUUAUUUCUCUAUCCCCUUCUUUUAAAUCUCCUGCCACGGCUUUGUCUCUAGACCUCCACGGAUCCCUCUUAUUCCCCGCCAACGCCCUCAGUUCGCAAUUCAAAUUGCGGCGCGAAAGGAGGACGGUGCUUUUGGCGCGAAGGUCGAAUGUUCAGGAGCCGCGCCCGACCAACGGUCAACCACGUACGAAAAGAAAAGAAUCCCUUCCCAGGUUACAUAUAUCUUUCUUCUUCUUCCUCCUCCUCCUCUUGGAAGACCUGGAGGGGGGGGGUUGCAAUUCUCAUCAAGGUUUCAUCUGGCAUGUCUCCAUGCCUCCAUUUCUUUUGGGUACUCAUAAGAUUGUAUUGUAGAAGUGUACAAUUAAUCCAAUAGCAUGUUUUACUUCUUUUACAAUUAAAUAUGUCUACGGAAGAGUGCAUUAUGUAUGUUACAAUGACAAUCAAGGGCAAAGACUGCCUUUAAUUUGCAUUUGCUGAUGGUAAAACAUGUUCUGAGGUCAUAAUAUUCAGUGAAGGCAAAGCAAUGGUCAAGUUAGGAAACUUUUCAAGCAUUUCAUCUGAGAUAAUUAUUUCAUGAUUUUAAAAUGGGAAUAAUUUGCUGCCAAGUUUUUUUAUUGGCAUAUACUCCUGCUUUGCUAGGAAGUGUCCUGCCUUGUUCCUAUCCGAUAGAGUCUGAAAAUUGAAGCUCUACUAUGGCAAGCCAAUCUUAACUGGAAAUUUUCACUUUCAAUAUUUUACAAAUGCCUUCAUGAAUGCACCUCACAGGAUGCCCCUUCAAUCUUGGAAGAUAUUCAUUGAUUACAUAUAAAAGUAGGAGUUCCUUAUUUUUGAUGUAAACAUGUCUGUUAGAGACUCGAGUAUCUCCUGGAUUGUUCCUUUGCCUGGGGAGGAGGAGGAGGAGGAAAUGCAAUGGAUCGGCCAUCACAAACAUUACAUAUUCAGCCAUACCAAGCAUCAGUGUGCUCUGUAUUUGUGUGGUUAUUGCAAUGCAAAUGGGCAACCAUACUACGAAGUGGACUUCUCAACCAAGAAGGCCUCCUUUAUUUCUUGUUUGGCAACCAUAGGAUCAUCUGUCUUACAGAAAGCAAUUAGGGGUGUUGCAUUGCUUCCGAUUGAUAGGUCUAUCAUGAGGAUCUAAGCUAAUCCAAGGCCCCUUUGCACCUCCCUAUCUCCUGGUCACCCAUCUCUUUUGUUCUUAUUGCUUUCUUCUUUUUUAGGUAUCCUUUAGAUGACACAUUAAUUUUCAUCAAAGUACUUGUCUAUUCUCAAAUCUUAAACUCAUGUUCACGGAAAUUACCCAAAUCUAUUGUUUGUCAUACUGGUUGGUUUCUUUUCCUCUGUCUUUCAAAAAUAUAUUAGUUUAAAGUUAGAUACCUUGUUAGGUAAUUGCAUGGUAUUCAUUUUUUGUCCUCAAGUUAAGUACAUAUUUACACUUGCAUUGACUUUUUACCCAUUGAGAAGUCAUAGAGUGAAUAACUACUGUGAUUUGGUUUCUUUUGUUGUCUAAAGUUAAUAAAAAAUACUGAAUUUAGGAUGGUAUGUGUUCAAAAAUGUAAUGAUCAUGAUCAAUGUGUUCUGGAAUCUCAGUUGUACUUGGUCUAUUCAUGCACUUUGACACCUGAAUUUUAUCAACACCAUUUCAAUUUCUGCUACUUGAUGCAUAGGUUCAAAUUGUCCGAAGCAUCUGAGUUUUUAUAUAUCAAUCUUUUUUAACACUGUGGAUUGUCAAUCUAGAUGGCUCAUCAUGUAUUAUUGUGCUCCAAUUGUUUGCUCUCAAUUUUUCACAGCAGGAUUCUAGCUCAACGUAUAUACUAGGUAUGGUUCUAGCAUUUCUCUCCCACUCAAAUUAUGUUGAUACAUGCAUAUAUAACUUUUGAGUAGUUCUGAGAAUUUAUUUUCUUUCAUUUCUUAUAUUGCAUUCAAAUACUUACUAUUAUGGAAGCAAGAUAACGAAUUUCUCCUUAUGAUUGGGGAACCUUAGCUUUGAAUAAUGGCUCUUUUGGGCAUAAACUACUUGUAAGCUAAUGCAUGUUGACGUUUUGCUGUGUCGGGGUUCUAGCUCUCAUUUAUCUAAUUGUCAUAUGUUGUUCAGGGAAGCUGGAAGCAGAUGAUGCUGUUUUUGGAAGUGGUGUUGGUGGACCAUGCUGUGCCGGACUGUUAGCUGGAUACAAGCAGAAUGUUCUUGUGUUAGAAAGUCAUAAUGUUUUCCAGAGGUUCUUGACGCAUUGGGAGAGGUCCAUUCCAUGUGCACCCUAUGAUCAUGGAUGGUUUACAUACCUGAAGGCGAGUUUUUGUCAUGAAUAGGCCCCACAGAGUUUCUCAAGUCGGUGGCUUGAACAGCUAGGAAGAAUCAGGAGAAGUGAAGAAGUCGGUGGUGUCUUCUUCAAGAAGAAUCAAGAGAGUGGAGAAGUUGGUGGUGUCUUCUUCAACAAUUAGUAUUACUUAUUUCAAUAUACUUGUCUAUAUUUUUGCUAAUUCAUGUUUAAUUCUAUUAUUUUGAUAAUCAAAUGAGUUAGGAUUUUUCAUGGUGUAACACUAUGACCAAAGUAAACUAAUGGACUAUGAUAUGUUCACCAGUCAAUUUAUCAGUGGUCAAAAACCAUAAUUGUUUUCUGUUAUUUAAACCGUCUUUUCUGACCACUGGAUAAAUAGGCUAGGGAUUUUGAAAUCAUAUGAUUUUUUUGAUAGUAAGCCAGUUUAGAGAUAGUAGAUCCACAUCCAACUACUUAUAUCAUCAUGUCGGGCCCCAUCAUCCGGUCAGGACCAACCUCACAUGGUGCUAAUAUACUUACACAAGUUUGUUAGCAUUCCUCUCUCUAUGGUGGAUGUACAAACUAGUAUUGGAGGCUUGUGAGAUUGUGGCUUGCCAAAUUGUUCAUUCAAUAGAAACUUCCCAUGACCUAGCCUUGUGGCCGAAAGUAGCCAAAUUUGUGAUUUAGAAAGUGUGCUAUUAUUUCUUUCAAUGCAUGAAGCUUGCUAUGGUAAAUUUCUUGCUGAUAUGAUUAAGUUUUCGCUUAAUCAUAUUGAAUUCCUACAGUUUUACUCUUGGGCAGAUGAUGUCAUUAACGUGCGUUGAUUUCUGCUAUGUAACUUCUUACAGGACCUCGAGAAGCAUCUAGGUCUUGACACUUCCC